RNAcentral lists this ribosomal RNA (497 nucleotides) under uncultured bacterium. RNAcentral's name for it is "partial 16S ribosomal RNA". It matches the Rfam family "Bacterial small subunit ribosomal RNA", at positions 28 to 507 of the family's 1533-position model. The record is from RNAcentral.
GAUGAACGCUGGCGGCGUGCCUAAUACAUGCAAGUCGAGCGAACAGACGAGGAGCUUGCUCCUCUGACGUUAGCGGCGGACGGGUGAGUAACACGUGGAUAACCUACCUAUAAGACUGGGAUAACUUCGGGAAACCGGAGCUAAUACCGGAUAAUAUAUUGAACCGCAUGGUUCAAUAGUGAAAGACGGUUUUGCUGUCACUUAUAGAUGGAUCCGCGCCGCAUUAGCUAGUUGGUAAGGUAACGGCUUACCAAGGCAACGAUGCGUAGCCGACCUGAGAGGGGGAUCGGCCACACUGGAACUGAGACACGGUCCAGACUCCUACGGGAGGCAGAAGUAGGGAAUCUUCCGCAAUGGGCGAAAGCCUGACGGAGAAACGCCGCGUGAGGGAUGAAGGUCUUCGGAUCGUAAAACUCUGUUAUUAGGGAAGAACAAAUGUGUAAGUAACUAUGCACGUCUUGACGGUACCUAAUCAGAAAGCCACGGCUAACUACGUG